RNAcentral lists this ribosomal RNA (307 nucleotides) under uncultured bacterium. RNAcentral's name for it is "partial 16S ribosomal RNA". It matches the Rfam family "Bacterial small subunit ribosomal RNA", at positions 28 to 334 of the family's 1533-position model. The record is from RNAcentral.
GACGAACGCUGGCGGCGUGCCUAACACAUGCAAGUCGAACGGAGCAGAUCCCUUCGGGGGUUUGCUUAGUGGCGAACGGGUGAGUAACGCGUGAGGAACCUCCCUUUCAGUGGGGGACAACAGUUGGAAACGACUGCUAAUACCGCAUAAGCGCACGGAACCGCAUGGUUUUGUGUGAAAAACUCCGGUGGUGUGAGAUGGACCCGCGUUGGAUUAGCCAGUUGGCAGGGUAACGGCCUACCAAAGCGACGAUCCAUAGCCGGCCUGAGAGGGUGAACGGCCACAUUGGGACUGAGACACGGCCCAG